GAGCAAUACUCUGUCAGCGUGCGUUGAAUCAAAUAGGCGUACGUGGGGAACCGCCUGAACUGAAACAUCUAAGUAGGGCGAGGAAGAGAAAUCAACCGAGAUUCCGCUAGUAGUGGCGAGCGAACGCGGAAGAGGCCAAACCGGAGGUAGCAAUAUUUCCGGGGUUAGGACUGCAAUAUGUAACUUUAAUCUUUAACUGAAUGCUUUGGGAAGAGCAGCGAUACAGGGUGAUAGCCCCGUAAGUGAAAAGGAUUGAGUGCUAGCAGUAUCCAGAGUACCAGCGGACACGUGAAACCCGCUGGGAAGAUGGGGGGACCAUCCUCCAAGCCUAAAUACUACUCAGUGACCGAUAGUGGAGCAGUACCGUGAGGGAAAGGUGAAAAGUACCCCGGGAGGGGAGUGAAAAAGAACCUGAAACCUUGUGCCUACAAGCACCGAGAGCACGUUAAAGUGUGAUCGGGUACUUUUUGUAGAACGGUCCGGCGAGUUAAUAUUUGCAGCGAGGUUAAGGAACUGGAGUUCCGGAGCCGCAGCGAGAGCGAGUCUGAAAAGGGCGUAUGAAGUUGCAGGUAUUAGACCCGAAACCGGGUGACCUAUCCAUGAGCAGGCUGAAGCGGUGGUAAGACACCGUGGAGGGCCGCACCCACGUCUGUUGAAAAAGCCGGGGAUGACUUGUGGAUAGCGGAGAAAUUCCAAUCGAACUCGGAGAUAGCUGGUUCUCCCCGAAAUAGCUUUAGGGCUAGCGUUAUUUUAGAUUACCGGAGGUAAAGCACUGAAUGGUCUAGGGGCCGCGAGGUUACCAAAGCCUAUCAAACUCUGAAUGCCGGAUAAUUGAUGAAUAGCAGUCAGACUGUGUGAGAUAAGUCUCAUAGUCAAAAGGGAAACAGCCCAGAUCUACAGCUAAGGUCCCAAAUGAACACUAAGUGGAAAAUGAUGUGAAACUGCGAAGACAACCAGGAUGUUGGCUUAGAAGCAGCCACUCAUUCAAAGAGUGCGUAAUAGCUCACUGGUCGAGUGGUUUUGCGCAGAAAAUGUAACGGGGCUAAGUGUUCAACCGAAGCUUAGGCAUUGCAGUAAUGCAUUGGGUAGGGGAGCGUCGUAUGCGGGGUGAAGUCAGAGCGGAAGCACUGGUGGACUGCAUACGAGUGAGAAUGCCGGAAUAAGUAGCGAGAAUUAUGUGAGAAUCAUAAUGGCCGAAAAUCUAAGGUUUCUUGGGGAAGGUUCGUCCGCCCAAGGUUAGUCGGGAGCUAAGCUCAGGCCGAAAGGCGUAGGCGAUGCACAUACGGUAGAAAUUCCGUAACCACCGAACAUUUAAGCUAGAGGGACGCUUUCUUUAAGGUUAUCCCGGGCGAUGGUUGCCCCGGGCGUAAGGGACCGAAAUAUAGUAGGGAAGUAACUGGCGAGAGAGACGAGAAAAGCUCUGGUGUAUACUAAGGUGCCCGUACCGCAAACCGACACAGGUAGAUGGGAUGAGUAUUCUAAGGCCAACGGGAGAAGGGUUGUUAAGGAACUCGGCAAAUUGGCCCCGUAACUUCGGGAUAAGGGGCGCCUGCGAGAGCAGGCCGCAGUGAAAAGGCCCAAGCGACUGUUUAGCAAAAACACAGCUCUCUGCUAAAUCGAAAGAUGACGUAUAGGGGGUGACGCCUGCCCGGUGCUGGAAGGUUAAGGGGAGUGCUUAGCGCAAGCGAAGGUGCGAACUUAAGCCCCAGUAAACGGCGGCCGUAACUAUAACGGUCCUAAGGUAGCGAAAUUCCUUGUCGGGUAAGUUCCG
Molecule: ribosomal RNA, 1771 nt
Filed under: human gut metagenome
Description: bacterial LSU rRNA
Rfam family: Bacterial large subunit ribosomal RNA
Source: RNAcentral